UACAGAGGGCGCUAGCGUUGUUCGGAUUCAUUGGGCGUAAAGGGUGCGUAGGCGGCGCGGUAAGUCGGGUGUGAAAUCUCGGAGCUUAACUCCGAAACUGCAUUCGAUACUGCCGUGCUUGAGGACUGGAGAGGAGACUGGAAUUUACGGUGUAGCGGUGAAAUGCGUAGAUAUCGUAAGGAAGACCAGUGGCGAAGGCGGGUCUCUGGACAGUUCCUGACGCUGAGGCACGAAGGCCAGGGGAGCAAACGGG
RNAcentral lists this ribosomal RNA (253 nucleotides) under uncultured bacterium. RNAcentral describes it as "partial 16S ribosomal RNA". It matches the Rfam family "Bacterial small subunit ribosomal RNA", at positions 524 to 776 of the family's 1533-position model. The record is from RNAcentral.